This 126-nucleotide ribosomal RNA is filed under the name Gymnophalloides seoi. RNAcentral's name for it is "partial 28S ribosomal RNA". It matches the Rfam family "Eukaryotic large subunit ribosomal RNA", at positions 1 to 124 of the family's 3401-position model. The record is from RNAcentral. RNAcentral also lists the same sequence under 2 other names. Lineage: Eukaryota; Metazoa; Platyhelminthes; Trematoda; Gymnophallidae.
CCUGACCUCGGAUCAGACGUGAAUACCCGCUGAACUUAAGCAUAUCACUAAGCGGAGGAAAAGAAACUAACAAGGAUUCCCUUAGUAACGGCGAGUGAACAGGGAAGAGCCCAGCACCGAAGCCUA